GCGAUAAGGGUGCGGCGAAGUGGUGCAGCCCUGUUGCCCCUGCCAACAGCUUGCAAACAUGCAUGUACAUCAUUCCUUGUUCAAUGAGUUGCUUCAGACCAGCGUUUAGGCGUGCCGUUUAAACGACGUGGAGUCGGGACAGAGGAAUCCGUCAUGACGCGCAUUCAUACCCUGCAGCAACCCAAAGAGUGGGAUCGGCAAGAAGACUUCGCACGAGAAGGUGCACUCGGGUUUCCACAAGCGCAGAACAGAAGAUUUCUGAAGCGAGGGCGAAAAAGGGCGGCAGGAACCCACAGCGACUAGGGAAUGCGCGACUCUGUGCCGUCUGAGACAGACACCAGGAUGCCCUCUCCGUAAGCCAUAGCGCAUCAGGCGAAACGAUCGAGGAAGCGGCUCUUUAGCCAACAGGAAAAGCAAAAAAGAUAGCGCAGCUCCGAAAAGGUUUCAUUUCGCAUGCGAAGCUCCACAAGCUCACCCCCAGUCGACAGGCUGGCGGCGGCGUGCACCAUCUUCACGGACGAUGCCGAGUAGUCCGCGAUGAAACUUGCUGCGGGUGACAGGCAGUGCUCCAGCCGCUGAGCAGCCCGUCAGCCACAACUCCGCCUUCGUGCGACGCCUGUACGGCGAGUGCCCGGCAAAGUACCGUGCAAGCAUCGUACGACGGGAAUAUCUGCUUUUCCCGAGAGGGGUACUUGAUCAGUUGCGCUACCCAACACCACGAGGCGGCGGCACCAAACAUGACCGGCGGCCACGGCUCGCAAGGAGAGAUGUUUACGUGUCAAACAUCACAGCUCUUUCGCACUAGGGCCACACCACCCAUGCUCGGGGCGCGGGUUCACCGUCCUCUGCGGGAGCAGACACAGUUGCCAUCGGCCAAGAAAUGGCUCAGAUCAAGACGAACAUGAAUGGGGUCGCCAAGCGCUUGUGCCGCCACAGAGGUCCACCGCGAAGAUACAGCAACAACGGCAGUCCGAGCGGAACCGGGUACACCGCAAUGGAGGACAACGCUAGCGGCAACAGCAGCCUCCUGUUCCUGCGCGGCGCACUCUGCGCGUCGAUCUGCCGCGGCACCUCGGUGCAAAGGCCGGAUGCUUCACACGGAGGGCUAACUGCAUGGGGGACGGUGCCAAGCGAAUGGGGGAGCGCAGGAGAGGGUCACGGCACGGAGUGGCUGCGGGGCUGCUAGCGGCGACGGUGCGGGGGUGGAGCGCACACUGUCAAAGCCUAGCGGGGACAGGGGGGGCGCAGGAUGGCGCCUUGAGGGCCGCGGCGGCGGCGGCGAAGGCCACCCGCGAUGGCCGCAACGCGGCCUGGGCGGUGACAACACUCCCUCGAUAGUCUUUUUUCCCUUCAGCGCUGGCCGCGGGGCGGGCGGCUUCAAGCGCCUCUAUGGAGGAAGAGCCGCUGCAUGGAUUCUAUACCGGUGCCGGGCCAUGCACCGCUAAACACCCCCCCCCCCUCCCCCCCCCACACACACAAACGACGCCUUUCAGGGUGUUUGCCUGCCUCUUCUUUGAUUAUGGCUGCUGCCUUUACGCUGCCUGGAUAGGCCUGCGCGAGCAUGGGAAGGUCGUCUGGGUGCUGAUCUCUCGCCGGGCUCUUUCUUUUUUUUCUCUCGCGCCUUUUACAGGGCCUUUCGGGCCGCUGCCCGUUGUCGUGUGUUCUCUGUUCUGUAGUUGCACGUGUUCCCUCUUUAUAUUUUGCCCGGCUUCUCACUCGGCCUCUCUCUCUCUCUGCGCCGUGCGCUGCCGGAGGAAACGCUUCGACGUGCGGGCCUGUCUUGUGGCCGGCGGUUGUCGUAUGCGCCGCAUGCGAUUCGUCGUGCUGUGGCGGCGGCGGCAACAAAGAGAACGGCACAACCGAAGGAGCAGAACACAUCGCUGCAGCACUUCCUCUCGAGAACGAAGCGCACGAUCGCCGCGUCUCUCUCCCCCCCGCGUGUGCACACCGGCUGUGACGCGCGUGUGUUUGCCUCGUCCCUAAGGUGUACCUCACAAGGGCGCUUCCUCUUGUUUCUCACCCGUGCUCGUCACACACGUCUUCUCUUCGAAGUUGCCACAUGCACUUACACAGGGUUUUCUUUGCGGCUUUUCUCUCUUCUGCUGGUGCGCGCGUGUGUGCGUGAAGGCGCAUGAGAGCUCCUGCGUGUCACCUGCUCAUACUCCCUCUCCCUCUGCAGCACUCCGCCCAGUGAAUGGGGCCGUCCUUAGCUGCUUUACAGAGAGGCGGUUAUCAUAGAGGGUGCUGCCUCUUGCGCGAAGCUGCGCUCGCGCGCUGUGUGACGCUGAUUCUCCCGCCACUGCGGCGGCUUUCCUUUCGCCCCU
Molecule: unclassified non-coding RNA, 2324 nt
Filed under: Leishmania donovani
Lineage: Eukaryota; Euglenozoa; Kinetoplastea; Trypanosomatida; Trypanosomatidae
Description: gene:unknown
Source: RNAcentral